Long non-coding RNA from Colias croceus (clouded yellow), 363 nucleotides. RefSeq lists it as uncharacterized. The transcript is spliced from 2 exons. The record is from RefSeq and is a predicted model, not a curated record. Lineage: Eukaryota; Metazoa; Arthropoda; Insecta; Lepidoptera; Pieridae.
CUCCUGGGGCCUGCGGUCAUAUAUAUAUUACAUAAACAAUAAAAAAAUAUUUCAACGCCAUCUUUUGCGUAUAUGCGCGAAUAAUACCUCAAAUCUAUGUAGUGGUAUGUCAUCCACUAUAUUAAACGGAUUUUGGUUUUAUAAGUGACAGUGAUUUGAAGUAUUCUCAUUUCGAAGUUGACGGUGGCUGUGCGACGGCAAACACGUGAUUUUAUUAUAAUUUCCAAGGAUUAUAAGAUACUGAGAUCUACCAACACCUGGAUGAGUCAAAUAUUGACCUAUAUGAUGGACCUAUGGAGUUUCUUGCCGGUUCUUCUCCAUAGAUACUGCUUUCCGAAUCGGUGGUAAAUGUUAAUACUGUUG